GAUGAAGAACGCAGCGAAAUGCGAUAAGUAGUGUGAAUUGCAGAAUUCAGUGAAUCAUCGAAUCUUUGAACGCACAUUGCGCCUCCUGGUAUUCCGGGAGGCAUGCCUGUUCGAGCGUCAUUAAAAUCACUCAAGCUUAGGUUUACCUAUUGCUUGGUCUUGGAGAUGGAAGCCAAUUCAUUGGAAUCCUCUUCGAAAUCCAAUGGCGAAGACCCUUGCUCUCCCAAGUGUAGUGAUAACUUAUGUCACUGAAGGAAGCGAGAAAUCUUCCGCCGUAACCCCCAUAUUUUCUAUGAUUGACCUCGGAUCAGGUAGGGAUACCCGCUGAACUUAAGCAUAUCAAUAAGCGGAGGA
RNAcentral lists this unclassified non-coding RNA (354 nucleotides) under soil metagenome. Its description in RNAcentral is "partial contains 5.8S ribosomal RNA, internal transcribed spacer 2, and large subunit ribosomal RNA". The stretch from base 1 to 120 matches the Rfam family "5.8S ribosomal RNA", at positions 35 to 154 of the family's 154-position model. The record is from RNAcentral.